Molecule: small RNA, 398 nt
Filed under: Candidatus Omnitrophota
Lineage: Bacteria; Pseudomonadati
Also listed under: 1 other name
Description: JAMWDD01 sp023818885 Standard tmRNA
Rfam family: transfer-messenger RNA
About the family: Bacterial tmRNA, also known as 10Sa RNA or SsrA, is named for its dual tRNA and mRNA-like properties. Its role is to liberate the mRNA from a stalled ribosome. To accomplish this part of the tmRNA is used as a reading frame that ends in a translation stop signal.
Source: RNAcentral
GGGGGUGAAGAGGGCUCGACUUAAGGCACGUCGGGUAAAGGUAGCAUGUCGCGGAUGCAGGGUUGGCCGCGUCAACAAUCCUUGCAAAAACAAACGCAAACACACCCGUGUUUAGCCGUGCACCAAUGUUCGCAUUGAUGCCGGCGGGCGUACCAGUCUUCGGGCUUAAUUAAGUCCGAAGCCUCAACCCAAUCUGCCUAAGGACUGGGAUUGAGCGGUUAAUUUAGGCUGGCCCCAAUAGAUUUGCCUUUGGGAUUGGGGCGAGAUUUAAAAGGCUGCAAUCCUGUCAAUUCUGUUUAUCGAAGUGGCAGGAAUUAAGUUUAAAAGAUAAACUAAGCAUGUAGCGACUUUUACCGGACUACUUAAGGACGGCGGUUCGAUUCCGCCCACCUCCACCA